RNAcentral lists this long non-coding RNA (5264 nucleotides) under Zostera marina. RNAcentral describes it as "long non-coding RNA (ZMAR_LNC002900)". Lineage: Eukaryota; Viridiplantae; Streptophyta; Magnoliopsida; Alismatales; Zosteraceae. The record is from RNAcentral.
GUUUUGGGUGAGAUUCGGAUCGCUUGAUGAAGCCCUAAAUCGAAUCGAAUUUCCAAAGAAGAUUAAGAAGAGGUAUUACAAUGAACAUAGAUUGAAACAGACAGAAGAAAAUACGAAUUGUAUUUGUAUAAACAAAAAAUCUAACUAAUAUUUCCUUUUCCUUAUCUUGAAGCUAGAAGAACGAAUGACAUCGUCAUCUGUUUUCAACUUUGAUUCUAGGGAGAAGAGCGAUUCUGGUUUGGUGAAGUAGGUGAAGAGAAGGUAGAUACCAUCAAGGUAUGUGUUACUCUCUCCAGCUUUGUUCUUUUUCUUUAUACUAUAAGCAAGUGGAAUCACUCCUCUGUUGAAAACCUCCACAUACAUCCCUCCACCGGCAACAAGUAACUGCAGAAUCAUCAAUCACCACCAUCCAAGAUAACGUAAUCAAUUUCAUCAUCUAUUCAGAGUUGUAAUUUUAGGUUUAGGUUUAGGUUUAGAUUUACCUCCUCGUAUCUUUCCGUCAGCCCUAACCGUUCUUCCUCUGACAUGUCGGGUCUCAGCACCACCAUUGUCUCGUACUGUCUUAAUCCGGGAGGACAUUGAGGUUCAUCCUUCUCCUCCACCGUUGCCACAGCUGAAGCCGCAGAAGGUCCAUCAUCCCCGUUUCUCCCUUCCUCGAAAAACGAUCCGGAGAAAUCCAUGGUUAGGGCACGUGCACGCGUGUGUCUUGCGAGGCAGAGACCACUGGCACUGACGAUCUGAAGAGGAAUCGGGAAUGACGGGAAGGAUCUACGGUGGUUAGAAGUGGUGGAGGAGAGUGAUGUGACGGUGGGGAUGAGAAAAGACGCCAUUUUCGUUUUCGAAUCUCAACGGAAAGAAGAUUUAGUUCAGAUAAGAGAUGCCUGAAGGCUGAAGCGGAAUAGAGAUAAGAAGAGGAGAAGAGAAUGCGGUAUGCUAUUCUCAAGGAAUAUUUUAAUUAAAAUAUUUAAAAUGUAAGAUAAGCUAGAAACUGGAAAGCAGCGGUGAUGAGAAGUGAAAGAUAAAGAGAGGUGCGUGGCAUCCUACCACCAUCUUUUCUGAUCGUCAUCGCAGCAUAGACCGGAAUGCAGUUGACGACGACGAAUCCACACAGCAGAAGCUGGAUCCCAAAUUCUCCGACAGACCCAUUCCUCACACUUCCGACGCCUCCGACCACCAAACCCACCAGACUCAUCCACGCGAAAACUCCAAUCGACACCAUGAACGGUGAAGCCACACCAAAAUCAAACACCUGUUUCUCGUACCGUCGAGUUUCAUCCUCGUCCAUCACCUUGCUGGUCACGUUGAACCCAUCACCGGUAGAUAACCCAAACUGGUUCAGCGAGAAUUCCACUAUUCCUGCAGGGUAGCACGUAACACCACGUACAAGCCACAUCCUCUGGUUGUUCCACCACUUCCGGUACGUUCCUCCUCCCAGUCUGACAAAAUCGAUGGCGUCUUGACCGUACGAUGCCAAGAAGAGGUACACGUAGAGCAAGCUCCAUGGAUCUCGCAGCAGGUUUGGAAAAAGAGGAUGGUUAUGAUGAAGUAGAGCUAUCUGCGGCAGAAUGCCGUAAGUGAUGAGAGGGAUAGACCAACUGCUCCAGAAGGAGUUGUGUGAGUAACACAUUCCGAGAAGCAAUGAACCGUAUUUCACACCGUAGGUUACCGGACAGUGCUCCGAGAAGACUAUUUCCAGAAGGCCGAUGAUCCAUCUCUUGGUCUGGCUGAGUGCAUCAUGUAGUGUUAUCGGAACUUCUCCCAAGAAAGCUGGUCUUUCUGGGUCGCAGAAGAUCGACUCCCAUCCCUCACACUGCAAUUGAUAUCCUGUGUAGAAAUCCUCCACCAACGAUCCGUACCGGAAUCCGACGGUGGAGCCCCACUUGGUACCAACCUCGUAGCUUGCUCCGGCUACUUGAUGAACCCUACCCAACACCUGAUCGGAGAACAGAGAAGAAGAAGAAGAAGAAACCACAGUCUGCUUCUGGUCGGGUGAGGAAUGGAGCGCGCGACGAUUGAAGAAAGUAUUGCUGCCGACGUACAUCGGACCUGUGAUUCCAUUCAUACCCAACGGAUUGAUCAGAUACUGUCGUUUGUACUCACUUCCGUAUAUAUCGCCAUCGUUGAUCCCACUGAAUCUCUGAGGGAACUGGACGAAGGCUAGAGUUCUGGAGAUUGAAUCGUCGAGGAGGAAACACAUGGCCUGGUGAGGUGUUGUUGGAUCAUUGGACUUCAUAUCGCAGUCAAGAUUCAGUAUGAACGGCGCAUUCGUUAUCUCACCGGAGACUCGGAGCAGAGUGUUCAGAGAACCUCCCUUGAAAUGAUGAGAAUAAGCUCCGGUCUUCUCCCUUGCGACGUAUAUGAGGUUCGGUAAUGGAUGGUUGGUAAUAUCCAUGUCUUUACUGCUUUCAACCAAAAUCUGAACAAUGGUUGGAUGUUCUUUACUUGUGAAUCCCGGAACCCAUUUCUCAAGACCACCGGAACGUUCUCCCACCGGGAUCCCAUUCUUCAUCGCCUGUUCAAUUUUCUCUCUCAUCUUCCCGUACAUUUUCUGAACACAGCCAAUCAAACACCAACAUGCCUUAGCUGUAGCUUCUAGUAUAUACAUAAGUAAUAUAACCAUAACUCACCUUGAUGUUGUUUUCUUCGUGACUGUUGCCGGCGCUGUUUGAAUCGAAGUAAACCUCCGGGCAUCUCGUCAUGAUUCCGUUCAUCUUACAAAACGGCACCCAAUGCUUUGCGAACAACGAAGCCUCCAUGAAGGCGAACAGUGUGAGAUCCGAUCCACCGUCGUCCGAUAAGUAUACCGAGAGUUUCUCCACCGGAUAAUCAUACGCCAUCACCGACAGAGCGGUGUUCACAACACCCAUCGGUGGCUCUUUAUACGGAUCCGCCGUGCAUAUGAACACGUCCAGACCCGGUAGAUCCUUCAAUAACAGAUUUACGAAUCAAUAACAAAUGAAAUCCUCAUUAAACAGAUAUGCAUCGGAAGAUGGCGACGGACAGACCUUGUUCGACAGGCGUUCUGGGUGAGGGUGGCGCCGUAUAGGACGCCAGCGAAAGGCUUGAGUGACCAGCCACAUGAAAGCGAGAACCACAUCGGAGAAGAAGAGGAAGAGAGUCAGACAGAAGGAGACGACGGUAAUGGAAGAAUGCAGCUGAAGAUAACGAUGGUAGAAGAUUGCAAGGAUCGCAAAUGAGUAUAAACCUGCAUGUAUUCGGUUGAUCGGAAUUAAAGGAUCUAUCUGUGAGGUAUGGAGUGGCUGCGGUGUUUCGAGCAGUUUUCCGCACUCACCGCCGGCGUCUUUCAUCGGGUUAAUUGGGGGAAUAAAAAAAACAAAUCUUUCUGACAGAGACCGAAUUACGUAUUUAUCAUUGGUCUGUUUAAUAGAUUAUCAAUUUAUCAUCCAAUGGUUUAGAUUGCAGGAUUGCAAACAACGACAAAGAUGCGGUGGAGAUUCCGAUCGAAAAGUGAAAUUACAAAUACAGCCCUGUUGGGAUAUUCUAUUUUCAUACUAAAACCCUUUACAGUUGGACGCAGCUCGAGAUGGAGAAAAUAAAUGCAGUAAUGAAGAAGGCGAGCUGGACAGACUUCCAUGGAAUCCUUCCAUUAUCCUUCCUAAAAACCAUGGCUUUGUAGAUUGGGUAUGAGUUAACGACGACAAAUCCACAUAGCAACAAAGGCAGAGUAAAAUCUCCAGUUUUUCCAUUCUUCAAAGCUCUCGCUGUUCCAACUGUGAAACCCACCAAACUCAUCGUUGCAAACACGGCAAGUGACACGAUGUACGGCGAAGGCGAAUCCUUCUCCGACGCCGUUCCGAAGUCAAAAAUCCCAAGCUUGUACCUCUCAUCCGAAUCGUAUUGCGUGACUUUACUCGUAACAUGGAAUCCGACGGUGGAUAAAGAAGAAGAAAAAGAACCCAUUUUCUUCAGAAAUGACUCCAGUAUUCCAACUGGCCAGCACGUGACACAACGUACCAACCACAUCCUCUGAUCGUUCCACCACUUCCCGGCUGUUUCGCCGGCAAGUACGAAAUCGGCGAGAUCUCUCGCGUACGAAACCACGAACAUGAAGAAAUACAACAAGAACCAUGGGUCGCGGGUGUUUGGAAACAUUUGGAUUUGGUGAACGACGGCGAUCUGCGGGAGAAUGCCGUAGAAAACAAUCGGGAUGGACGGAAUGCUACCAAAGGAGUAAUGGAAGUAAGCCAAGCGUAAGAGCGGAGAACAAUGUUUUAAUCCGAAGGUGAUUGGACAGUACUUUGAAAAUGCCACGUCAGUUAAUCCGACGGACAAUCUCUUUCCCUGCCUCAGCACACUGUCGAGUGUGAUCGGAAAGUCUCCGACGAAAGCAGCUCGUUUCGGAUUGCAGAACACCGAUUCCCAUCCCUCGCAAUGCAAGAGAUAGCCUGUGAAGAAAUCCUCCACCAACGACCCAUAUCGAAAUCCAACUGUAGAGCCCCACUUGGUUCUUCCAUUCACCUCGUAUGUUGCACCAACCACCUCAUUCGCAAAUUCCGGCACUGGCACCACCGGCAUGUUGCUCAUCAGAGAUCUCCGUCUGAAAAAAGUAUUGGUUCCGAUGUAUAUGGGACUUUUCAUGCCGUCAAAUCCCAACAUAUUCGUAUGUAACCGUCUGAACUCGGUUCCAUAAAGAUCACUCUUGUUUACUUGAAAUCUCUGAGGGAAUUGGACGAAGGCAAGCUUUUCAGCCAUGGCUUCGUCGAGGUGAAAACACAUCGCUCUUCUUGGCGUGAUUGGAUCGUUGGAAAUCAUAUCGCAGUCCAGAGUAAGUAUGAACGGCGCAUUUGUCAUCAAGCUUGAAACUCGCAGCUUAAACCAGAAAAAUAAGCAGUUAAACUACAGAAAUAUGCACAUAUUGUAAACUACGGAAUAUAGAUGACGAAAUUACCAACGCAUUCAGUGCUCCGGCUUUAAAAUGGUGAGGAAAAAUCCUAUUCUUCUCCCUUGAGACGUAAAUAACGUUCGGCAAUGGAUGGCCGGAGACGUCGAGAUCGCGGUCGGUUUUGAGCAAAACCUGAACUACAGAUGGGUGUUCCGCCGAAUUUGUUUUUAAAAUUGACUUCUUUAUAAUAUGAUUUUCAACCUUCUCUUUCAUCUCUUGGUACAAAAUCUGAAUGGUUCCAUAUGGGACUAUUAUUCUCUUUUUUUUAAAAGUAAUAUUUGACACAUCUUUGUGUAACACUAACAUACCUUGACAUGCUCUGAACGAUAGUUGUUGUUUGAUCGGAAGUAAGCUUCCGGCG